This is a small nuclear RNA of Nyctereutes procyonoides (raccoon dog), 104 nucleotides long. NCBI's taxonomy places the organism in Eukaryota, Metazoa, Chordata, Mammalia, Carnivora, Canidae. The record is from RefSeq and is a predicted model, not a curated record.
GUGCUUGCUUUGGCAGCACAUAUACUAAGAUUGGAAUGAUACAGAGAUCAGCAUGGCCCCUGUGCAAGGACAACACACAAAUUUAUGAAGCAUUCCAUCCAGCC